GCCGGCCUGAGAGGGUGAUCGGCCACACUGGGACUGAGACACUGCCCAGACUCCUAUGGGAGGCUGCAGUCGAGGAUCAUUCGCUAUGCGCGAAAGCGUGACGAUGCGACGCUGCGUGGAGGAUGACGGCCUUAGGGUUGUAAACUCCUGUCAUGAGGGAAAAGUAACCUGACAAUUAAUACUUGUCGGGAUCGAUGGUACCUCAAGAGGAAGCCACGGCUAACUCUGUGCCAGCAGCCGCGGUAAUACAGAGGUGGCGAGCGUUGUUCGGAUUUACUGGGCGUAAAGGGUGCGUAGGUGGUCAUGUAUGUCGGGUGUGAAAGCCCACGGCUCAACCGUGGAAUUGCAUUCGAAACUGCAUGACUAGAGUACAGGAGGGGAGAGCGGAAUUCUUGGUGUAGCGGUGAAAUGCGUUGAUAUCAAGAAGAACACCGGUGGCGAAGGCGGCUCUCUGGAAUGUUACUGACACUGAUGCACGAAAGCUGGGGGAGCGAACAGGAUUAGAUACCCUGGUAGUCCCAGCCGUAAACGGUGCACACUUGGUGUGGGGGGAUUUGACCCCCUCCGUGCCGGAGCUAACGCGUUAAGUGUGCCGCCUGGGGAGUACGGUCGCAAGGCUAAAACUCAAAGAAAUUGACGGGGGCCCGCACAAGCGGAGGAGCAUGUGGCUUAAUUCGAUGCAACGCGAAGAACCUUACCAGGGCUUGACAUAUACCUGCACGCCCCGUGAAAGCGGGGAAGCCUUCGAGGGUGGUAUACAGGUGCUGCAUGGCUGUCGUCAGUUCGUGCUGUGAGGUGUUGGGUUAAGUCCCGCAACGAACGCAACCCCUGUGGUUAGUUGCCACCGCCGGUGAUGAGCCGGCGAGCACUCUAGCCAGACUGCCCGUACAAGCGGGAGGAAGGUGGGGACGACGUCAAGUCAGUAUGGCCCUUACGCCCUGGGCUGCACACGUGCUACAAUGGCCGGUACAGAGGGACGCAAUACCGCGAGGUGGAGCAAAUCCCCAAAGCUGGCCCCAGUUCGGAUUGGAGUCUGAAACUCGACUCCAUGAAGUUCGAUUCGCUAGUAACGGCGUAUCAGCUACGACGCCGUGAAUACGUUCCCGGGCCUUGUACACACCGCCCGUCACAUCAUGAAAGCCGUCUGCACCCGAAGUCACUGAGCCAACUUUUACGAGAGGCAGGUGCCGAAGGUGUGGGUGGUGAUUGGGAUGAAGUCGUAACAAGGUA
RNAcentral lists this ribosomal RNA (1230 nucleotides) under metagenome. RNAcentral's name for it is "bacterial SSU rRNA". It matches the Rfam family "Bacterial small subunit ribosomal RNA", at positions 286 to 1498 of the family's 1533-position model. The record is from RNAcentral.